UGGGGAAUAUUGCACAAUGGGCGCAAGCCUGAUGCAGCGACGCCGCGUGGGGGAUGACGGCCUUCGGGUUGUAAACUCCUUUCGCCAGGGACGAAGCGUUUUGUGACGGUACCUGGAGAAGAAGCACCGGCUAACUACGUGCCAGCAGCCGCGGUAAUACGUAGGGUGCAAGCGUUGUCCGGAAUUACUGGGCGUAAAGAGCUCGUAGGUGGUUUGUCACGUCGUCUGUGAAAUUCCACAGCUUAACUGUGGGCGUGCAGGCGAUACGGGCUGACUUGAGUACUGUAGGGGUAACUGGAAUUCCUGGUGUAGCGGUGAAAUGCGCAGAUAUCAGGAGGAACACCGAUGGCGAAGGCAGGUUACUGGGCAGUUACUGACGCUGAGGAGCGAAAGCAUGGGUAGCAAACAGGAUUAGAUACCCUGGUAGUCCAUGCCGUAAACGGUGGGCGCUAGGUGUAGGGACCUUUUGGGGUUUCUGUGCCGUAGCUAACGCAUUAAGCGCCCCGCCUGGGGAGUACAGCCGCAAGGCUA
This 531-nucleotide ribosomal RNA is filed under the name uncultured bacterium. RNAcentral's name for it is "bacterial SSU rRNA". It matches the Rfam family "Bacterial small subunit ribosomal RNA", at positions 355 to 896 of the family's 1533-position model. The record is from RNAcentral.